UACGGGGGGGGCAAGCGUUGUUCGGAAUUACUGGGCGUAAAGCGCGCGUAGGCGGCUUUUCAAGUCAGACGUGAAAUCCUUAGGCUUAACCUGAGAACUGCGUUUGAUACUGUUGGGCUAGAGUGUGGAAGGGGCUACUAGAAUUCCGUGUGUAGCGGUGAAAUGCGUAGAUAUACGGAGGAACACCAGUGGCGAAGGCGAGUCCCUGGACAACACCUGACACUGAGGCACGAAAGCUAGGGGAGCAAACGGG
RNAcentral lists this ribosomal RNA (253 nucleotides) under uncultured bacterium. RNAcentral's name for it is "partial 16S ribosomal RNA". It matches the Rfam family "Bacterial small subunit ribosomal RNA", at positions 524 to 776 of the family's 1533-position model. The record is from RNAcentral.